Molecule: ribosomal RNA, 459 nt
Filed under: uncultured bacterium
Lineage: Bacteria
Description: bacterial SSU rRNA
Rfam family: Bacterial small subunit ribosomal RNA
Source: RNAcentral
GCACAAGCGGUGGAGCAUGUGGUUCAAUUCGAAGCAACGCGAAGAACCUUACCAGCCCUUGACAUGUCCCGUAUGAGUACCAGAGAUGGAACUCUUCAGUUCGGCUGGCGGGAACACAGGUGCUGCAUGGCUGUCGUCAGCUCGUGUCGUGAGAUGUUGGGUUAAGUCCCGCAACGAGCGCAACCCUCGCCCUUAGUUGCCAUCAUUUAGUUGGGCACUCUAAGGGGACUGCCGGUGAUAAGCCGCGAGGAAGGUGGGGAUGACGUCAAGUCCUCAUGGCCCUUACGGGCUGGGCUACACACGUGCUACAAUGGCGGUGACAGUGGGAUGCAAUGGGGUAACCCUGCGCAAAUCUCAAAAAGCCGUCUCAGUUCGGAUUGUGCUCUGCAACUCGAGCACAUGAAGUUGGAAUCGCUAGUAAUCGCAGAUCAGCACGCUGCGGUGAAUACGUUCCCGGGC